AUAUCUCUCUGUACGGGAAGGAUGAGAAGCUUCGACUAAGGUUCGAUUCGAGCGCAGCGAGAACGCGUUGCCGCAGGCAACGACCCGAAGGGCGAAGCGCGCAGCGCUGAGUCAUCCUUCCCCCACCACCA
RNAcentral lists this small RNA (131 nucleotides) under Salmonella enterica subsp. enterica serovar Heidelberg. RNAcentral's name for it is "RtT sRNA". It matches the Rfam family "RtT RNA". From Rfam's summary of the family: This family represents a bacterial cis-regulatory element known as RtT RNA. The exact function of RtT is unknown although it is thought that it may be involved in changing the cellular response in relation to amino acid starvation. RNAcentral also lists the same sequence under 9 other names. Lineage: Bacteria; Pseudomonadati; Pseudomonadota; Gammaproteobacteria; Enterobacterales; Enterobacteriaceae. The record is from RNAcentral.